GAUGAACGCUGGCGGCGUGCCUAAUACAUGCAAGUCGAGCGAACAGACGAGGAGCUUGCUCCUCUGAUGUUAGCGGCGGACGGGUGAGUAACACGUGGAUAACCUACCUAUAAGACUGGGAUAACUUCGGGAAACCGGAGCUAAUACCGGAUAACAUGUUGAACCGCAUGGUUCAACAGUGAAAGACGGUCUUGCUGUCACUUAUAGAUGGAUCCGCGCCGCAUUAGCUAGAUGGUAAGGUAACGGCUUACCAAGGCAACGAUGCGUAGCCGACCUGAGAGGGUGAUCGGCCACACUGGAACUGAGACACGGUCCAGACUCCUACGGGAGGCAGCAGUAGGGAAUCUUCCGCAAUGGGCGAAAGCCUGACGGAGCAACGCCGCGUGAGUGAAGAAGGUCUUCGGAUCGUAAAACUCUGUUAUUAGGGAAGAACAAAUGUGUAAGUAACUAUGCACGUCUUGACGGUACCUAAUCAGAAAGCCACGGCUAACUACGUG
RNAcentral lists this ribosomal RNA (497 nucleotides) under uncultured bacterium. RNAcentral describes it as "partial 16S ribosomal RNA". It matches the Rfam family "Bacterial small subunit ribosomal RNA", at positions 28 to 507 of the family's 1533-position model. The record is from RNAcentral.